Molecule: non-coding RNA, 471 nt
Organism: Paramuricea clavata
Lineage: Eukaryota; Metazoa; Cnidaria; Anthozoa; Malacalcyonacea; Plexauridae
Source: the annotation of a GenBank genome assembly
AACUGGUGUUCAGUUUGAAGCUAUUCUAAUAUAUCCAGGUAAUUUUAAUUAUAAUUCUGAUAGUAUCGAAUUAAUGUAAUAACUAAUAACGUAAGCUUUUAUUAAAAUGUUUAACGAAUGUAACAAAUAUAGAAAUGACGUAAAGUGUAUGAAUACUUCAAUUUCAUGAGUCAACCUUUUUCAACCAGAAUUAGGCCUGUCAAUACUCGAAGUGCUUUGUUGAGCGGAGAAUGCUUCGAUUAACUGCAACAAUGGUCAUUCUGACUAUUUUGAAUAUAACUAGCAUUUGAUAAAAAAAAACGAUGCUUAACCUAUGGCGCUUAUUCGAGGAAGACGUUGAUCAGAUGGCGGCGUUUAUUCGUUUCAGACGUAUAUUUCAGUACGUGUGGUGUAAGUUCGUGUCAAUGAUAUCAUAAUGUAAACAAAACACGGAGCAAAGGUAAUAAAGCAUGUUAAGAGAAUUUUUUGUAU